MicroRNA precursor from Gallus gallus (chicken), 109 nucleotides. Lineage: Eukaryota; Metazoa; Chordata; Aves; Galliformes; Phasianidae. The record is from Ensembl.
AGCUUAAUGCAAGCUCCUUCUCACUGCCUGCCCUGAGCACACCAUCAAGCAUUGGUGCUCAGACACGUCAGGAGGAGGUACUGUGCAAACGCCCUGCAAAGGGAUUCUG